GAUGAACGCUGGCGGCGUGCCUAAUACAUGCAAGUCGAGCGAACAGAUGAGGAGCUUGCUCCUCUGACGUUAGCGGCGGACGGGUGAGUAACACGUGGAUAACCUACCUAUAAGACUGGGAUAACUUCGGGAAACCGGAGCUAAUACCGGAUAAUAUAUUGAACCGCAUGGUUCAAUAGUGAAAGACGGUUUUGCUGUCACUUAUAGAUGGAUCCGCGCCGCAUUAGCUAGUUGGUAAGGUAACGGCUUACCAAGGCAACGAUGCGUAGCCGACCUGAGAGGGUGAUCGGCCACACUGGAACUGAGACACGGUCCAGACUCCUACGGGAGGCACCAGUAGGGAAUCUUCCGCAAUGGGCGAAAGCCUGACGGAGCAACGCCGCGUGAGUGAUGAAGGUCUUCGGAUCGUAAAACUCUGUUAUUAGGGAAGAACAAAUGUGUAAGUAACUAUGCACGUCUUGACGGUACCUAAUCAGAAAGCCACGGCUAACUACGUG
This 497-nucleotide ribosomal RNA is filed under the name uncultured bacterium. RNAcentral's name for it is "partial 16S ribosomal RNA". It matches the Rfam family "Bacterial small subunit ribosomal RNA", at positions 28 to 507 of the family's 1533-position model. The record is from RNAcentral.